GUCUAAGGCUAUGCCACCCUGAACGUGCCGAAUCUCUUCUGAUCUUGGAAGCUUAAGCAGGGUGGAGCCUGGUUAGUACUUGAAUGGGAGGCCACCUAGGAAUACCAGGUGCUGUAAGCA
Molecule: ribosomal RNA, 120 nt
Filed under: Pteropus alecto (black flying fox)
Lineage: Eukaryota; Metazoa; Chordata; Mammalia; Chiroptera; Pteropodidae
Source: RNAcentral